GGUCUUAUGGUCUAGUGGUAUGAUUCUCGCUUAGGGUGCGAGAGGUCCCGCGUUCGAGUCGCGGUAAGACCC
RNAcentral lists this transfer RNA (72 nucleotides) under Blumeria hordei DH14. RNAcentral describes it as "tRNA-Pro (AGG) (tRNA-Pro-AGG-2-1)". It matches the Rfam family "tRNA". From Rfam's summary of the family: Transfer RNA (tRNA) molecules are approximately 80 nucleotides in length. Their secondary structure includes four short double-helical elements and three loops (D, anti-codon, and T loops). Further hydrogen bonds mediate the characteristic L-shaped molecular structure. tRNAs have two regions of fundamental functional importance: the anti-codon, which is responsible for specific mRNA codon recognition, and the 3' end, to which the tRNAs corresponding amino acid is attached (by aminoacyl-tRNA synthetases). tRNAs cope with the degeneracy of the genetic code in two manners: having more than one tRNA (with a specific anti-codon) for a particular amino acid; and 'wobble' base-pairing, i.e. permitting non-standard base-pairing at the 3rd anti-codon position. RNAcentral also lists the same sequence under 3 other names. Lineage: Eukaryota; Fungi; Ascomycota; Leotiomycetes; Helotiales; Erysiphaceae. The record is from RNAcentral.